This 484-nucleotide ribosomal RNA is filed under the name uncultured bacterium. RNAcentral describes it as "partial 16S ribosomal RNA". It matches the Rfam family "Bacterial small subunit ribosomal RNA", at positions 30 to 507 of the family's 1533-position model. The record is from RNAcentral.
AUUGAACGCUGGCGGCAUGCCUUACACAUGCAAGUCGAACGGUAACAGGCCUUUCGGGAUGCUGACGAGUGGCGAACGGGUGAGUAAUACAUCGGAACGUGCCUAGUAGUGGGGGAUAACUACUCGAAAGAGUGGCUAAUACCGCAUGAGAUCUAUGGAUGAAAGCAGGGGACCUUUGGGCCUUGUGCUACUAGAGCGGCCGAUGGCAGAUUAGGUAGUUGGUGGGAUAAAAGCUUACCAAGCCUACGAUCUGUAGCUGGUCUGAGAGGACGAUCAGCCACACUGGGACUGAGACACGGCCCAGACUCCUACGGGAGGCAGCAGUGGGGAAUUUUGGACAAUGGGCGCAAGCCUGAUCCAGCAAUGCCGCGUGCAGGAUGAAGGCCUUCGGGUUGUAAACUGCUUUUGUACGGAACGAAAAGUCUUGGGUUAAUACCCUGGGAUCAUGACGGUACCGUAAGAAUAAGCACCGGCUAACUACGUG